Molecule: Y RNA, 107 nt
Filed under: Cebus imitator (Panamanian white-faced capuchin)
Lineage: Eukaryota; Metazoa; Chordata; Mammalia; Primates; Cebidae
Description: Y RNA (ENSCCAG00000012913.1)
Rfam family: Y RNA
About the family: Y RNAs are components of the Ro ribonucleoprotein particle (Ro RNP), in association with Ro60 and La proteins. The Y RNAs and Ro60 and La proteins are well conserved, but the function of the Ro RNP is not known.
Source: Rfam by way of RNAcentral
GGCUGGUCUGAAGGUAGAGUUAUCUCAACUGAUUGUUUAUGGUUAUAGACCUGAACCGUUGUUCUACUCUUUACCCCCUCCCCACUACUUCACUUGACUAGUCUUAU